UGGGGGGGUACUGGGAUAUACUGGGAUGGACUGGGAUAUACUGGAGGGGUACUGGGAUGGAUGGGGGGCACUGGGGGGGUACUGGGAUAUACUGGGGGCUACUGGGAUGGACUGGGAUUGACUGGGAUGGAACUGGGAUGGGCUGGGAUAUACUGGGAUGGAUUGGGGGGGACUGGGAUAUACUGGGAUAUACUGGGAUGGACUGGAAUGGACUGGGAUGGACUGGGGGGGGCACUGGGAUGGACUGGGGGGGUACUGGGAUAUACUGGGAUGGACUGGGGGGGCACUGGGAUGGAACUGGGAUGGACUGGGAUGGACUGGGGGGAUACUGGGAUAUACUGGGAUGGACUGGGAUGGACUGGGAUGGACUGGGGGGGCACUGGGAUGGACUGGGGGGGUACUGGGAUAUACUGGGAUGGACUGGGAUAUACUGGAGGGGUACUGGGAUGGAUGGGGGGCACUGGGGGGGUACUGGGAUGUACUGGGGGCUACUGGGAUAUACUGGGAUGGAUUGGGGGGGACUGGGAUAUACUGGGAUAUACUGGGAUGGACUGGGAUGAACUGGGCAGGCACUGGGAUGGACUGGGGGGGUUACUGGUCCAUACUGGGAGGGUACUGGGCUAUACUGGGGGGUUGGGGGGUACUGGUUUAUACUGGUCCAUACUGGGAUGGACUGGGGGGGUUACUGGUCCAUACUGGGGAUGCUCUGCUCCAUACUGGGAGUACUGGUCCAUACUGGGAGUCCCGGUCCCGGACCAUACUGGCCUUACUGGUUCAUACUGGGCUAUACUGGUCCAUACUGGGCUAUACCGGUCCAUACUGGGCUAUACUGGUCCAUACUGGGAUAUACUGGGAGGGUACUGGUCCAUACUGGGAGUACUGGUCCCUAUGGGGAUGCCCUGCUCCAUACUGGGCAUACUGGUCCGUACUGGGAGUACUGGUCCCAAUCCAUACAGGGCUUACUGGUCCAUACUGGGCUAUACUGGUCCGUACUGGGCUAUACUGGUCCAUACUGGGAGUCCCCGUCCCAGUCCAUACUGGCCUUACUGGUUCAUACUGGGCUAUACCGGUCCAUACUGGGCUAUACUGGUCCGUACUGGGCUAUACUGGUCCAUACUGGGGGUCCCGGUCCCGGUCCAUACUGGCC
This 1147-nucleotide long non-coding RNA is filed under the name Gallus gallus (chicken). Its description in RNAcentral is "lncRNA (ENSGALG00010000582.1)". Lineage: Eukaryota; Metazoa; Chordata; Aves; Galliformes; Phasianidae. The record is from RNAcentral.